RNAcentral lists this ribosomal RNA (433 nucleotides) under uncultured bacterium. Its description in RNAcentral is "bacterial SSU rRNA". It matches the Rfam family "Bacterial small subunit ribosomal RNA", at positions 43 to 524 of the family's 1533-position model. The record is from RNAcentral.
CAGGCCUAACACAUGCAAGUCGAACGCCCCGCAAGGGGACUGGCAGACGGAUGAGUAACACGUGGGAACGUACCCUUUGGUUCGGAACAACCCUGGGAAACUAGGGCUAAUACCGGAUACGCGCGAGAGCGGAAAGGUUUACCGCCGAAGGAUCGGCCCGCGUCUGAUUAGCUAGUUGGUGAGGUAACGGCUCACCAAGGCGACGAUCCGUAGCUGGUCUGAGAGGAUGAUCAGCCACACUGGGACUGAGACACGGCCCAGACUCCUACGGGAGGCAGCAGUGGGGAAUAUUGGACAAUGGGCGCAAGCCUGAUCCAGCAAUGCCGCGUGAGUGAUGAAGGCCUUAGGGUUGUAAAGCUCUUUUACCCGGGAUGAUAAUGACAGUACCGGGAGAAUAAGCCCCGGCUAACUCCGUGCCAGCAGCCGCGGUAAU